RNAcentral lists this transfer RNA (72 nucleotides) under Bos taurus (domestic cattle). It matches the Rfam family "tRNA". From Rfam's summary of the family: Transfer RNA (tRNA) molecules are approximately 80 nucleotides in length. Their secondary structure includes four short double-helical elements and three loops (D, anti-codon, and T loops). Further hydrogen bonds mediate the characteristic L-shaped molecular structure. tRNAs have two regions of fundamental functional importance: the anti-codon, which is responsible for specific mRNA codon recognition, and the 3' end, to which the tRNAs corresponding amino acid is attached (by aminoacyl-tRNA synthetases). tRNAs cope with the degeneracy of the genetic code in two manners: having more than one tRNA (with a specific anti-codon) for a particular amino acid; and 'wobble' base-pairing, i.e. permitting non-standard base-pairing at the 3rd anti-codon position. Lineage: Eukaryota; Metazoa; Chordata; Mammalia; Artiodactyla; Bovidae. RNAcentral also lists the same sequence under 2 other names. The record is from Rfam by way of RNAcentral.
UCCCUGAUGGUCCAAUGGCUAAGACUCUACGUUCUCAAUAAAGGGAGCCAGGUUCCAUCCCUGGUCAGGGAA